GUGCCAGCAGCCGCGGUAAUACGUAGGUGGCAAGCGUUAUCCGGAAUUAUUGGGCGUAAAGCGCGCGCAGGCGGUUUCUUAAGUCUGAUGUGAAAGCCCACGGCUCAACCGUGGAGGGUCAUUGGAAACUGGGGAACUUGAGUGCAGAAGAGAAAAGCGGAAUUCCACGUGUAGCGGUGAAAUGCGUAGAGAUGUGGAGGAACACCAGUGGCGAAGGCGGCUUUUUGGUCUGUAACUGACGCUGAGGCGCGAAAGCGUGGGGAGCAAACAGGAUUAGAAACCCUCGUAGUCC
RNAcentral lists this ribosomal RNA (292 nucleotides) under uncultured bacterium. Its description in RNAcentral is "partial 16S ribosomal RNA". It matches the Rfam family "Bacterial small subunit ribosomal RNA", at positions 505 to 796 of the family's 1533-position model. The record is from RNAcentral.